Dreissena polymorpha is the source of this 889-nucleotide long non-coding RNA. RefSeq lists it as uncharacterized. The record is from RefSeq and is a predicted model, not a curated record. NCBI's taxonomy places the organism in Eukaryota, Metazoa, Mollusca, Bivalvia, Myida, Dreissenidae. The transcript is spliced from 2 exons.
UCUAAGUGUGCUUGCAAACCUUUACGUCAAGUUUGAGAUUCUAGGUCCAAGCAUACCAAAGUUAUAACAAUUUUAACAUUUUAACAUUGAAGGUCACAGUGACCUUGACCUUCAAAUGAAUGACAUUGAAAUGACCAGUGGUCAUCUUCUAGUACUGGCCAAUCUUUAUUUCAAGUUUGAAGACUCUAGGUACAAGCAUACUAAAGUUAUAACAUGAAAUAAGAACUUUAACAUUUUUACAUUCAAGGUCACAGUGACCUUGACCUUCAAAUGAAUGACCUUGAAAUGUCCAGUGGUUACUUACUAGUUCUGGCCAACCUUCAUGUCAAGUUUCAAGACUCUAGGUCCAAGCAUACCAAAGUUAUAACAACUUUAACAUUUUUAUAUUGAAGGUCACAGUGACCUUCACCUUCAAAUGAAUGACCUUGAAAUGACCAGUGGUCAUCUGUUAAUCCUGGCCAACCUUCAUGUCAAGUUUGAAGACUCUAGGUCCAAGCAUACCAAAGUUAUACCAUGAAAUAAGAACUUUAACAUUUUUACAUUCAAGGUCACAGUGACCUUGACCUUCAAAUGAAUUACCUUGAAAUGACCAGUGGUUACUAACUAGUUAUGGCCAACCUUCAUGUCAAGUUUCAAGACUCUAGGUCCAAGCAUACCAAAGUUAUAAGAACUUUAACAUUUUUUAUAUUGAAGGUCACAGUGACCUUGACCUUCAAAUGAAUGACCUUGAAAUGACCAGUGGUCAUCUGUUAAUCCUGGCCAACCUUCAUGUCAAGUUUGAAGACUCUAGGUCCAAGCAUACCAAAGUUAUACCAUGAAAUAAGAACUUUAACAUUUUCGAGCACGCCGCCACCCCGCCCGCCCGACAACAUCAAUCUAUAAGCCGAGA